This 493-nucleotide ribosomal RNA is filed under the name uncultured bacterium. RNAcentral describes it as "bacterial SSU rRNA". It matches the Rfam family "Bacterial small subunit ribosomal RNA", at positions 28 to 507 of the family's 1533-position model. The record is from RNAcentral.
GAUGAACGCUAGCUACAGGCUUAACACAUGCAAGUCGCGGGGUAACAUCUGGGAGAGCUUGCUCUUCCAGGAUGACGACCGGCGCACGGGUGAGUAACGCGUAUCCAACCUGGCCCAUACCACGGGAUAGCCCGUCGAAAGGCGGAUUAAUACCGUAUGCUGUCAUUAAGAGGCAUUUUUUGAUGACGAAAGGACUGGCGGUAUGGGAUGGGGAUGCGUCUGAUUAGCUUGUUGGCGGGGUAACGGCCCACCAAGGCGACGAUCAGUAGGGGUUCUGAGAGGAAGGUCCCCCACAUUGGAACUGAGACACGGUCCAAACUCCUACGGGAGGCAGCAGUGAGGAAUAUUGGUCAAUGGGGCGCAAGCCUGAACCAGCCAAGUAGCGUGAGGGAAGACUGCCCUACGGGUUGUAAACCUCUUUUGUUUGGGAAUAAAGUGCGGGACGUGUCCCGCAUUGCAUGUACCAUUUGAAUAAGGACCGGCUAAUUCCGUG